This 253-nucleotide ribosomal RNA is filed under the name uncultured bacterium. RNAcentral's name for it is "partial 16S ribosomal RNA". It matches the Rfam family "Bacterial small subunit ribosomal RNA", at positions 524 to 776 of the family's 1533-position model. The record is from RNAcentral.
UACGUAGGGAGCAAGCGUUGUCCGGAAUCAUUGGGCGUAAAGCGCGCGUAGGCGGCCCGAUAAGUCCGCUGUAAAAGUCAACGGCUCAACUGUUGAAAGCCGGUGGAUACUGUCGGGCUAGAGUACGGAAGAGGCAAGUGGAAUUCCUGGUGUAGCGGUGGAAUGCGCAGAUAUUAGGAGGAACACCUAUAGCGAAGGCAGCUUGCUGGGACGUAACUGACGCUAAGGCGCGAAAGCUAGGGGAGCGAACGGG